AGUGAACGCUGGCGGUAGGCCUAACACAUGCAAGUCGAACGGCAGCACAGUAAGAGCUUGCUCUUACGGGUGGCGAGUGGCGGACGGGUGAGGAAUACAUCGGAAUCUACUUUUUCGUGGGGGAUAACGUAGGGAAACUUACGCUAAUACCGCAUACGACCUACGGGUGAAAGCAGGGGAUCUUCGGACCUUGCGCGAUUGAAUGAGCCGAUGUCGGAUUAGCUAGUUGGCGGGGUAAAGGCCCACCAAGGCGACGAUCCGUAGCUGGUCUGAGAGGAUGAUCAGCCACACUGGAACUGAGACACGGUCCAGACUCCUACGGGAGGCAGCAGUGGGGAAUAUUGGACAAUGGGCGCAAGCCUGAUCCAGCCAUACCGCGUGGGUGAAGAAGGCCUUCGGGUUGUAAAGCCCUUUUGUUGGGAAAGAAAAGCAGCACGUUAAUACCCCGCUGUUCUGACGGUACUCAAAGAAUAAGCACCGGCUAACUUCGUG
Molecule: ribosomal RNA, 492 nt
Filed under: uncultured bacterium
Lineage: Bacteria
Description: partial 16S ribosomal RNA
Rfam family: Bacterial small subunit ribosomal RNA
Source: RNAcentral